ACAAGCGGUGGAUGAUGUGGAUUAAUUCGAUGCAACGCGAAAAACCUUACCUACCCUUGACAUGCCAGGAACCCUGCUGAGAGGUGGGGGUGCUCGAAAGAGAGCCUGGACACAGGUGCUGCAUGGCUGUCGUCAGCUCGUGUCGUGAGAUGUUGGGUUAAGUCCCGCAACGAGCGCAACCCUUGUCAUUAGUUGCCAUCAUUCAGUUGGGCACUCUAAUGAGACUGCCGGUGACAAACCGGAGGAAGUGGGGAUGACGUCAAGUCCUCAUGGCCCUUAUGGGUAGGGCUUCACACGUCAUACAAUGGUCGGUACAGAGGGUUGCCAAGCCGCGAGGUGGAGCCAAUCCCAGAAAGCCGAUCGUAGUCCGGAUUGUUCUCUGCAACUCGAGAGCAUGAAGUCGGAAUCGCUAGUAAUCGCGGAUCAGCAUGUCGCGGUGAAUACGUUCCCGGGUCUU
RNAcentral lists this ribosomal RNA (457 nucleotides) under uncultured Rhodocyclaceae bacterium. RNAcentral describes it as "bacterial SSU rRNA". It matches the Rfam family "Bacterial small subunit ribosomal RNA", at positions 925 to 1382 of the family's 1533-position model. Lineage: Bacteria; Pseudomonadati; Pseudomonadota; Betaproteobacteria; Rhodocyclales; Rhodocyclaceae. The record is from RNAcentral.